UGGAACUCCCAUACCACCCUGAACGCGCCCGAUCUCGUCUGGUUUCGGAAGCUGAAAAGGGUCGGGCCUGGUUAGUACUUGGAUGGGUGUCUCUUAUUUUUUAGGAGCACACUUUAUACCCAGCCCUUAGUUCCUU
Molecule: ribosomal RNA, 136 nt
Filed under: Mesocricetus auratus (golden hamster)
Lineage: Eukaryota; Metazoa; Chordata; Mammalia; Rodentia; Cricetidae
Source: RNAcentral